Molecule: long non-coding RNA, 282 nt
Organism: Tachysurus fulvidraco (yellow catfish)
Lineage: Eukaryota; Metazoa; Chordata; Actinopteri; Siluriformes; Bagridae
Exons: 3
Source: RefSeq, a predicted model, not a curated record
CUCUGAUUUACACACUGCUCUUUUCAUUUCACACAAACACACAGCAAGCUGCUCUCUGACAAAAAGAACUUCUUCUGGCUGAUGCUGAGGUUUAAAGCACAAAGCAUCACCAUGGAAACCGUGUCAGUCGUGCUCCUCCUGCUAUCAGCUUUUACUCCUCCAGUCCAGAGUCAAUUCAUUUCACUCCAUAUCAUUCUGGGUGACAUGAAUCAGACUGAGGCUCGGGAAGCUUGCAGAGAAAAAUACACCGACCUCGUCACUGUGUACUCUGAUGAAGACAAC